GACGAACGCUGGCGGCGUGGUUAACACAUGCAAGUCGAACGGAAAGGCCUCUUUCGGGGGGUACUCGAGUGGCGAACGGGUGAGUAACACGUGAGUAACCUGCCCUUGACUUUGGGAUAACUUCAGGAAACUGGGGCUAAUACCGGAUAGGAGCUCCUGCUGCAUGGUGGGGGUUGGAAAGUUUCGGCGGUUGGGGAUGGACUCGCGGCUUAUCAGCUUGUUGGUGGGGUAGUGGCUUACCAAGGCUUUGACGGGUAGCCGGCCUGAGAGGGUGACCGGCCACAUUGGGACUGAGAUACGGCCCAGACUCCUACGGGAGGCAGCAGUGGGGAAUAUUGCACAAUGGGUGGAAGCCUGAUGCAGCAACGCCGUGUGCGGGAUGACGGCCUUCGGGUUGUAAACCGCUUUCGCUCAUGACGAAGCUUUGUGUGACGGUAGUGGGUAAAGAAGCACCGGCUAACUACGUG
RNAcentral lists this ribosomal RNA (467 nucleotides) under uncultured bacterium. Its description in RNAcentral is "partial 16S ribosomal RNA". It matches the Rfam family "Bacterial small subunit ribosomal RNA", at positions 28 to 507 of the family's 1533-position model. The record is from RNAcentral.